RNAcentral lists this ribosomal RNA (469 nucleotides) under uncultured bacterium. RNAcentral's name for it is "partial 16S ribosomal RNA". It matches the Rfam family "Bacterial small subunit ribosomal RNA", at positions 28 to 508 of the family's 1533-position model. The record is from RNAcentral.
GACGAACGCUGGCGGCGUGCUUAACACAUGCAAGUCGAACGGAAAGGCCCUGCUUUUGUGGGGUGCUCGAGUGGCGAACGGGUGAGUAACACGUGAGUAACCUGCCCUUGACUUUGGGAUAACUUCAGGAAACUGGGGCUAAUACCGGAUAGGAGCUCCUGCUGCAUGGUGGGGGUGGGAAAGUUUCGGCGGUUGGGGAUGGACUCGCGGCUUAUCAGCUUGUUGGUGGGGUAGUGGCUUACCAAGGCUUUGACGGGUAGCCGGCCUGAGAGGGUGACCGGCCACAUUGGGACUGAGAUACGGCCCAGACUCCUACGGGAGGCAGCAGUGGGGAAUAUUGCACAAUGGGCGGAAGCCUGAUGCAGCAACGCCGCGUGCGGGAUGACGGCCUUCGGGUUGUAAACCGCUUUCGCCUGUGACGAAGCGUGAGUGACGGUAAUGGGGAAAGAAGCACCGGCUAACUACGUGC